This 472-nucleotide ribosomal RNA is filed under the name uncultured bacterium. RNAcentral's name for it is "bacterial SSU rRNA". It matches the Rfam family "Bacterial small subunit ribosomal RNA", at positions 355 to 825 of the family's 1533-position model. The record is from RNAcentral.
UGAGGAAUAUUGGACAAUGGGCGAAAGCCUGAUCCAGCCAUGCCGCGUGUGUGAAGAAGGUCUUCGGAUUGUAAAGCACUUUAAGUUGGGAGGAAGGGUUGUAGAUUAAUACUCUGCAAUUUUGACGUUACCGACAGAAUAAGCACCGGCUAACUCUGUGCCAGCAGCCGCGGUAAUACAGAGGGUGCAAGCGUUAAUCGGAAUUACUGGGCGUAAAGCGCGCGUAGGUGGUUAGUUAAGUUGGAUGUGAAAUCCCCGGGCUCAACCUGGGAACUGCAUUCAAAACUGACUGACUAGAGUAUGGUAGAGGGUGGUGGAAUUUCCUGUGUAGCGGUGAAAUGCGUAGAUAUAGGAAGGAACACCAGUGGCGAAGGCGACCACCUGGACUGAUACUGACACUGAGGUGCGAAAGCGUGGGGAGCAAACAGGAUUAGAUACCCUUGUAGUCCCUGAGCGGGCUGGCAAGGCGCAU